AACAACAGCCAUGUCACCCUGCAGCCCAAGACUGGUUACUCACUGAAGCUAAGCAGGGCUGAGCCUGGUCAGUACCUGGAUGGGAGACCACUAGGGAACACUAGGUUGCUGUUGGAA
This 117-nucleotide ribosomal RNA is filed under the name Danio rerio (zebrafish). Lineage: Eukaryota; Metazoa; Chordata; Actinopteri; Cypriniformes; Danionidae. The record is from RNAcentral.